CCGCGCGAAGGUAGCGUAAUCACUUGUUUUUUAAAUAAAGACUUGUAUGAACGGCCACACGAGGACUUAACUGUCUCCUUUGUCCAAUCAGUGAAACUGAUCUCCUCGUGCAGAAGCGAGGAUUCCACCAUAAGACGAGAAGACCCUAUGGAGCUUUAAACUUUUAUUAACUUUUUUCUUUACCCCUCCAAGGAGUUAACAACUAAUUUAAUCUUUUUAAUAAAAGUUUUGGGUUGGGGCGACCAUGGAGAAAAAAAAAUCCUCCCUGAUGACAACCUAACUAAGAGCCACAGCUCCAAGUAUUAAGACACUUAACUCCUAUUGACCCAUUUUAUGAUCAACGAACCAAGUUACCCUAGGGAUAACAGCGCAAUCCAUUUCAAGAGUCCCUAUCGACAAAUGGGUU
RNAcentral lists this ribosomal RNA (406 nucleotides) under Xenophrys lini. Its description in RNAcentral is "partial 16S ribosomal RNA". It matches the Rfam family "Bacterial large subunit ribosomal RNA", at positions 1946 to 2518 of the family's 2925-position model. Lineage: Eukaryota; Metazoa; Chordata; Amphibia; Anura; Megophryidae. The record is from RNAcentral.